GAAAAUCAACCUCACUUUAAAGAUUUUAAAGAGCUUUCCCGAUUAAAACCUCGCAGUCUUGACCCACUCUCUGGUCCACACCAGGUUUGUGAGAACUGGUUACUCCAGGACUCUGUGCGUAGCUCUGAGGCACAACAGGCUUUUGAAUAGACAAGAAACCCCCAUCCUGCCUGCCUCCAACAGUGCCAUGGAUCGUUGGGAAUGUCGUCUCUUUUCUUAGGUUUUGCAGGGACUGAACCCUUCAGAAAAUCAAGACAAGCUGCCAACACGAGGAACUGCCAUCCCUGCAAAUGUGAUUUCUCCACAAGGAGGAAGGAGAAAGACAAUGAGUUGCGUCCGGAAUCAUCAUGGCCAGGAGCAUGUUGGCACACCUGGCGCUGGAGCAGUAGCUGAGAGCUACAUCCUGACCCACAGGCCAAGAGAGAGACACUGAGCCAGGCAUGGGCCCCAGGGACACACCUCCUCCAGCAA
Long non-coding RNA from Meriones unguiculatus (Mongolian gerbil), 471 nucleotides. RefSeq lists it as uncharacterized. The transcript is spliced from 3 exons. The record is from RefSeq and is a predicted model, not a curated record. Lineage: Eukaryota; Metazoa; Chordata; Mammalia; Rodentia; Muridae.